Molecule: transfer RNA, 99 nt
Organism: Sphaerobolus stellatus SS14
Lineage: Eukaryota; Fungi; Basidiomycota; Agaricomycetes; Geastrales; Sphaerobolaceae
Rfam family: tRNA
About the family: Transfer RNA (tRNA) molecules are approximately 80 nucleotides in length. Their secondary structure includes four short double-helical elements and three loops (D, anti-codon, and T loops). Further hydrogen bonds mediate the characteristic L-shaped molecular structure. tRNAs have two regions of fundamental functional importance: the anti-codon, which is responsible for specific mRNA codon recognition, and the 3' end, to which the tRNAs corresponding amino acid is attached (by aminoacyl-tRNA synthetases). tRNAs cope with the degeneracy of the genetic code in two manners: having more than one tRNA (with a specific anti-codon) for a particular amino acid; and 'wobble' base-pairing, i.e. permitting non-standard base-pairing at the 3rd anti-codon position.
Source: Rfam
UGCCCCAUGGCUUAGUUGGCUAUAGCGUCCGACUGUUAAGACGCCACGAUGGUCGAUUAUCGAAUCGGAAGGUCGAGAGUUCGAGCCUCUCUGGGGCAG